UACGUAGGGCGCAAGCGUUAUCCGGAAUUAUUGGGCGUAAAGAGCUCGUAGGCGGUUUGUCGCGUCUGCCGUGAAAAGUCCGGGGGCUCAACUCCGGAUCUGCGGUGGGUACGGGCAGACUAGAGGUAUGCAGGGGAGAACGGAAUUCCUGGUGUAGCGGUGAAAUGCGCAGAAUAUCAGGAGGAACACCGGUGGCGAAGGCGGUUC
This 207-nucleotide ribosomal RNA is filed under the name uncultured bacterium. RNAcentral describes it as "partial 16S ribosomal RNA". It matches the Rfam family "Bacterial small subunit ribosomal RNA", at positions 524 to 727 of the family's 1533-position model. The record is from RNAcentral.